This is a long non-coding RNA of Neofelis nebulosa (Clouded leopard), 1317 nucleotides long. RefSeq lists it as uncharacterized. The record is from RefSeq and is a predicted model, not a curated record. The transcript has 2 exons. NCBI's taxonomy places the organism in Eukaryota, Metazoa, Chordata, Mammalia, Carnivora, Felidae.
AAAAGCCAAAUUCCACCACAACACUUUUUGCAUUUUAAAUCUUCCCUAAGCUCAUCUGCAAAAUCAUUUCUGUUUGCUUUAUGAAGAAAUGGAAGGUCAUUGCUCUAGGUUAAGCAGAGAAUGCUUCUUGGGAUAGUUGCAAAAGUGUUCAAUCAGUUAUUUGCCAUUAAGUUGUCACUUUACUAGCGAAGAGAUCUGAAGAGUCCAUUCCUCUGAACAUCAGUUUUUCAUCUAUAAAAAGAGAACGAAGGUACAUGGUCUGGCCACCUCCCAGGAUUGUUAUAAGGGUCAAAUGAGAUCAUAAUCUAGUGAAAGUACGGUUGGUGCUGGUGAUGUUAUUUAACACUCAGCUGGACUAUUUUGUUGAUGAGGAGGCUGAAAUUCAGGGAGGCAACCUCAGCAGCAGCAAAGAAAUAAACAGCAGAAGUGGGAUUUACAGAAGGGCCGUGUGAUGCUUAGAGUCCAUGGUCAGGCCAGCGCUGUGACACAGUCCUAGCCCUGGAGGACGAGCAGUCCUCUUCUCGAUCUACAGAAGACAUUACUACAGCGUCUUCAUGCACCCCAAGCCAUGAACAUCACCACCCCCAAAGUUAGGUCUGUCCUGUGCCAUAACUUUGCCCUGCCUCCUCUUCUCUGCCUUAUUCUCUUGGACAGCAGGAGGGCUGGCCCCAACCCCAAUCUGAGCUUGCUUGAUCCUAGCUGGCUUCCUGCCAAGAGCUCAACCCCCUGCUCCCCCAGAGCUCGGGUCUCUCCUGCCUGACUUGGAGGCAGCAUGGAGCAGUACAGAAGGGCUUAUACACAGGCUCUCUUCUAUGUGGCCCAGUUUCCUUAUCUAUGAAAUGGAGGUAAUACUAUCUCCUCCUAAGGUUGAAUGAAAUCAUCUAUGUAAAGUGCUCAGCACAGGGCAUGUCUCCUGAGGUGGGGGAGGGGGAAGCUCCCAUCUGCCUAUAUCCCUCAAGACUGCACUUAGACCACCCUCCCUGCAGAGCCUUGGAGAGUCACUUGGAUUUGUAAGCUCCUUGGAUGCUGUACACUGCCAGGUCCACGGCGACGUCUGAAACCAAGCCAGUUUCUUCAGUCCACAUCCUAUCAGCCAAGGGGGCAGGGUUCUACUUUCCCUCCUGACAACCUUGGUUGAGAUCCCAGCAUACCCACUCCUGUUGCCACACUUCAGAGCAGGACCACUCAACAGAAUUUUCUGGGUGAUGGAACUGUUCUAGAUCUGUGCCGCCCAAAAUGGAAGCCAGUGGCCACGAGUGGCUAUUGAGAAGUUGAAAUGUGGUAAGUAUGACUAAGGAAUAGAAAUUUAUAACCUUU